UAUCUUAUCAAAACGAUGGACAAGAAAUUCAGUUACCUGUGAGAUGUGUGUUAACCACUUAAAGUGCUGCAGCUCAAAUUGUUGAAGAGAAUAGCUACUGUCAAAGAUGAUGGUACUGUGGAAUUUGAAAUCCCGGGUGAUGUUGAACCCACCGGAGUGCUUGGAACUGGAUCUGAAAGUGUACAUACUGCAGUUGAGGAUGAACCUCUUGAUGCAACAGAACUUCAAUAUUUUCCACCUAUGCAGAUUGUAAUGCUUAUUGUAGGAACACGUGGUGACGUGCAGCCCUUCACUGCAAUUGGCAAGCGUUUGCAGGUACUUCGAUAUCAUUCGCCAAACAGAUUGUAAAUGUACAAGCUAAGGCUGUCCCUAGGUUGUUGAUGCGUAUAUAGGUGCUCUUUGCAUCUCAAUUUGGUGAGAACGGAUUAGCAGAUCUUUCUGAUAGGUGUGUGUGUUUAUUUAUAUAUUAAGUNGGAAUAGAUAGCCAAUUUGACUCGAAAUCAGAUUUCCUGAAGAGAUCACUUAGAGGGGUAAAUAGAAAAAGAGGUGGAGAAUCCGAAUUGUACCUGACAUUCCUUGGACUACAGGAGAACGUUGACUAAGAUUUCAGGACAUAGCAAAAACUAUGUUGCAAGAAGACACAGUCAUUUGCUAAUGUUUGUCUCUUGUCAUAGCGUUCUAUUAUGAGUUAAUUGUUUGGGUUUUCUCAAGUAAUAAGUCCUGUUAGUGGAGCUCUCAAAUGAACAGGAAACAACCUUGGUUAAUAGGAGUUCUAUUACCCUUUUUCAACCUCUUCACUUCAAUUCAAGGUCAAACUCACCACCUGUGUGUGAUAAUUUGAAGUGUGGUGAGCACUCACCAAUAAAAAAGUUAGUGUGUACACUAAAUAAAGAAUCAAGCAAUUCUAUGCCAAAGAUCACUUUCCUUAAUAGCAUGUUUUUUGGUCAGCCAGGAUAAAUCAUGAUUGAUAGAAAAUUAAAUACAUAGUGGUUGUUGCGGAGUGGAUUAAAGUGUGCAGUCAAAAUCUAUUGCUCCAUGUACAUGAUAGUUCUUCAUAGACAUCUAAGCAUAUAUUACCAAUGGAAUAUCUUCAUUAUUAUCUAUCUUUAUGUUUAUGGCCUCAUUAUAUUAUUUGGUUUGUCUAUCCUCUGUUGUUUGUGAUAAAUUUACUUGAUUUUAUAAUACCUUUUUGGUGUUUAUCUUAUCAAAACGAUGGACAAGAAAUUCAGUUACCUGUGAGAUGUGUGUUAACCACUUAAAGUGCUGCAGCUCAAAUUGUUGAAGAGAAUAGCUACUGUCAAAGAUGAUGGUACUGUGGAAUUUGAAAUCCCGGGUGAUGUUGAACCCACCGGAGUGCUUGGAACUGGAUCUGAAAGUGUACAUACUGCAGUUGAGGAUGAACCUCUUGAUGCAACAGAACUUCAAUAUUUUCCACCUAUGCAGAUUGUAAUGCUUAUUGUAGGAACACGUGGUGACGUGCAGCCCUUCACUGCAAUUGGCAAGCGUUUGCAGG
RNAcentral lists this long non-coding RNA (1513 nucleotides) under Solanum pimpinellifolium. Its description in RNAcentral is "long non-coding RNA (SPIM_LNC000135)". The record is from RNAcentral. Lineage: Eukaryota; Viridiplantae; Streptophyta; Magnoliopsida; Solanales; Solanaceae.